Molecule: non-coding RNA, 174 nt
Organism: Rhizobium sp. Pop5
Lineage: Bacteria; Pseudomonadati; Pseudomonadota; Alphaproteobacteria; Hyphomicrobiales; Rhizobiaceae
Source: Rfam
GUCGUUGCAAGGCGAGGUCUGAAGGAAGUUGUAAGCAAAGUGCCGGCCUGACGAACAGGAAACGCAUAUGAGGCGACCGCAUCCGGACGAAGGUGCACAAAUGCCUGAAGUCCAAUAUCACCCGGAGGAUGCGGCCGUAGAUGCGACAGGUAUAUGGCACGAAGGUCACGCGUC